This 274-nucleotide ribosomal RNA is filed under the name uncultured bacterium. RNAcentral's name for it is "partial 16S ribosomal RNA". It matches the Rfam family "Bacterial small subunit ribosomal RNA", at positions 523 to 796 of the family's 1533-position model. The record is from RNAcentral.
AUACGGAGGGGGUUAGCGUUGUUCGGAAUUACUGGGCGUAAAGCGCACGUAGGCGGACUGGAAAGUUGGGGGUGAAAUCCCGGGGCUCAACCCCGGAACUGCCUCCAAAGCUUCCAAUCUAGAGAUCGAGAGAGGUGAGUGGAAUUCCAAGUGUAGAGGUGAAAUUCGUAGAUAUUUGGAGGAACACCGGUGGCGAAGGCGGCUCACUGGCUCGAUACUGACGCUGAGGUGCGAAAGCGUGGGGAGCAAACAGGAUUAGAAACCCUAGUAGUCC